AAAUUUACAUAUAAUCAUUAAACUUCAACCAUAUGAACUUACCUGGGUCGAUUUGUAAAAUUUGUGAAAGUUCAAGGACUAAUCAGCUACUUUUUCUUUUCCUCGACUUGCUUCGGGUUCUCGAUCUAUCAUUGUAAAAUCAUUCACUUAUCAGUAUUGACUUCAUCUUCAACCUGCUUAUAAGUAAUAUUAUCUAUAAUUUAAUUGUUUACUUAUGUAUAUUCCAAUGUUGUCCAUAAGUGCCAUAGUCACUAAAUUAUUUUUAUCUUUAGCUACAGAACUCCAAAUUAGGAUCCGAUAAUUUUUCUUGAAACUAGACUCAUAUAUCUUCUUAUCAUAAAAUUUUUAGAAUUUUUGGUUUAUCCAAUAAGUACAUUUUAUUCUUUAAAGUCACCCAUGUUCUGCUGUCUGACAAUUCCGACCCUUCUUCACUAAAAAUUAAUUAUCUCUUCGUACAGAAUUUGGAUGAUGUCCAUAUUUGUUUCUAUUGAAAAUAUACUUAUUAAGGAUUUUAAAAAUAUAAAUUUAAGCUCCUAAUUAUUUUUCUCCAAUUUUUUAUGAUUUUCCAAAGUCAGAAUAGGGGAACCCGAAAUCAUUCUGACAUUGUCUCACAAAAUCUAUUAUAUCUCAUGAUCUACAAUUCCGUUGCUUACACCGUUUUUUCUAUGAAAAACUAGACUCAAUAAGCUUUAAUUUCAUAUUUUUUUAAUCUUCUAAUUCGAUUUAUAAAAUUUAUGGUGAUUUUUAAAAGUUAGACUACUGCAGCUGUCCAAAACUGUUUUAGCGCAAAUGUUGAUUUCAGUUUUUGCCCCAAAUUUCACAGUUCAUACAAUUCAGUCCUUGCUCAAUUAAUCCCUCAAUGAAGCUAAUUUUUCCCAAUUAAUGCUUUACCUAGACAUUAUAAGUUAUUUCACAAUUAUUUAAAUUCAUAAUUUCCACAUAAAACCCUAACUUCAAACUCUUUCACCAUUAGGUCCCAAACAUUCACUUUCUAUUCAAUUCUUUCAAUAAAAUCAGCAUAUAAACAAUUUAAAACUCUAAUUCCAUGCUAAAUCAUCAUAUACUUCCAACACAUAUUCAUAACAACUUCCAAUUUCUUUUAUAGAAUCAAAAACUAAUGAAUUCAACAAGUGGACCUAGUUGUAAAAGUCAUAAAAACACAAAAAUUUCAAGAAAUAAUCAAGAAUUGAACUUACUUGCAGUAAAAAUAUGAAAAAUAGCUUAAUAAAACCCUUCUAUGGUGUUUUUGCUGAUGAUAAUGCAGAAAAAUAAUGAGAAUUCUAGAUAAUUUCACUUUAGUCCUAGUUUAUUAAGUAAAUUUUGCAAUAUUCCAAUUUUACCCUUAAUUCAUCAAUUUUCCUGCUGAUUUCAUGCACCUUGCCGUCCAGCCCAAAUAGACCUUGGGUCUAUUUGCCUUUUAAACCCUCUUUCUUUUAUCAUUUAAGCUAUUUAAUCAUUUCUCAUAAUUUUACAUUUGUUACAAUUUAAUCCUUUUUAUUCAAUUAACUAUCGAAACAUUAAAAUUUCUUGACGGAACUUUAAUACUAACUUAUUAACACUCCAUAAAUAUUUAUAAAAAUAUUUAUGGCUCGUUUUAAAAAUUUUCAAACUCACGAUAUCUGUUUUCGAUUCUAAUUUAAUUUUUUUUAAUUUUUAUUUCUAGUACACUAUUUGCUAUUUCAAAAAUUUUCCUAACUUCACACUUAACUUAUAUUCACUAAAUUAUUAAUAUUUUCUACUUAUUUUUCAAAUUUAGUGAUCUCGAAUCACUGUUCCGACACCACUGAAAAUUUAGGCUAUUACAAUUCUCCCCCUCUUAAGAAAUUUCGUCCUCGAAAUUUGUUACCUGAAAAUAGGUUCGGAUAUUGUGAUUUCAUUGAUUCCUCUGUUUCCCAGGUUGCCUCCUCCACACCAUGUCGAUGCCACAACAUUUUUACUAACAGUACCCGUUUGUUCCUUAACUCUUUAAUUUCCCAAGCUAGAAUUUUCACCGGUUCUUCUGAAUAAGUCAUGUCGGGUUGGAGCUCUAUUUCUGUAUGAGGAAUUACAUGUGAUGGAUUUGAUCUGUACCGUCUCAACAUAGACACAUGAAACACGUUAUGAAUCUUUUCAAGCUCCGGGGGCAAAGCCAAUCUAUAAGCUACCGGACCGAUUCUUUUAAUGAUUUCAUACGGCCCGAUAAAUCGUGGGCUAAGUUUUCCUUUUCUACUGAACCGCAAAACUUUCUUCCACGGUGACACUUUCAAGAAUACACGAUCACCCAAAUUAAACUCUAUAUCUCUUCUCUUUAAAUCUGCAUAUGAAUUUUGCCGAUCGAAGGCAGCUUUUAAACAAUCUCGAAUAAUACGAACUUUUUCUUCGGUUUCCCGAAUCAAGUCCACUCCCAUUAGUUUUCUUUCACUUAAUUCAGACCAAUAUAAUGGAGUUCUACACUUUCUUCCAUACAGAGCUUCAAAUAGUGCCAUUUUAAUACUAGUUUGAUAACUAUUAUUAUAAGCAAAUUCGAAUAAAGGUAAAUACCUUUCCCAGCUGCCGCCAAACUCAAGUACACAACACCUUAACAUAUCUUCUAAAAUCUGAAUCACUCGCUCUAACUGCCCGUCUGACUGAGGAUGAAAAGCUGUGCUGAAAUUUAAUUUAGUGCCCAAAGCCUCUUGUAAUUUACUCCAAAAUCUCGAAGUAAAUCUCGGAUCCCGAUCCGAAAUAAUAGAUACUGGAACUCCAUGUAAUCUCACAAUCUCAGAAAUAUACAAUUCCGCUAACUUCUCCAAUGAAAAAUUUGAUCUGACUGGAAUAAAAUGUGCCGACUUUGUCAAUCUAUCAACGAUAACCCAAAUUGAAUCUUUCUUUUUCGGAGUCACAGGCAAUCCUGAUACAAAAUCCAUCGUAAUGUGUUCCCACUUCCAUUCAAGAAUCAUAAUAGGUUGUAAUAAACCCGUUGGUACUUGAUGCUCUGCUUUCACUUGUUGACAGAUUAGACAUUUGUAACAAAUUCACAAAUCUCUCGUUUCAUACCAGGCCACCAGUACUUUUUUUUUUAAAUCGCAAUACAUUUUUGUACUACCCGGAUGAAUAGAAUACUUGCUAUUAUGUAGGGGUGUUCAUUCGGUUAACCGACCGGUUAACCGACCCGAAAUUACUAUAACCGAAUUAACCGACCUUCCAAAAAUUUUAACCGUUAAUCGAACCGAUUUUUUAAAAAAAAAAUUAACCGAACCGAAAUUUUUUCGGUUGAUAAGGUCGGUUAACCGAAUUAACCGAAAAUUAUGUAUUUUUUUAUUUUUGGUUAAAAAUUACCCGAAUUACCCGAAUUAACCGAAUUAACCGAACUAACCGAAUUAACCGAACUAACCGAAUUACCGAAAAAUACCCGAAUUACCCGAAUUUUUUUAUUUUUUAUUUUUAAAAUUUAAAAAAUUUAUAAAUUAUUAAAGUAAAUUGGGUUUUAGACUUUAGUAAAUUGGGUUGUCUUUUAAUUUUAGUUUUAUUGGAUUGAGUAAUUGGGUAAACUUUAGUUUUAGUUUUAUUGGGUUGGGUAAUUGGGUUGGGUAAUUGAGUUUGGGCUGGGUUGGAUAAUUUUAUUUAUUAAUUUUUUCGGUUAACCGAAAAUUUUCGAUUAACCGACCGAUUUCGAACCGAAUUAACCGUUAACCGAAAAAUCAUAAAAAAUUUAACCGACCCCCGACCGAAAAAAUUCGGUUAACCGACCGAUUAACCGAAUUCGAUCAGUUAACCAAAUUUUUUCGGUUUUACCCGAAUUAUGCACACCCCUACUAUUAUGAGCUUCAGCAAGAAUAUCAUUUUUCAAUUCUGAAUUAUUCGGAACAUAAAUUCUAUUACGAUAACACAACAUACCACCAUCAUCAAUGCUAUAUUCUGAACUCAAAUUAUCCUGAACCGUUUUUCGUUUCAGUACUAGUUUCGGAUCAUCACUUUAUAAUUCACGGAUCCUUUGAAGGAAUGUAGAUUUUGCUUUCAAUUCUGCUAAUACUGAACCAUCUUCAUUAACAAACAAAUGAACAUUCAUUUCUCGAAGUGCAAACAAUGAUGAUUUUCGGCUAAGUGCAUCAGCGACCACAUUUGCUUUCCCGGGGUGAUAAUCAAUACCAAGAUCAUAAUCUUUCAAUAGUUCGAGCCAUCGUCUCUGUCUCAAGUUCAGCUAUUUCUGUGUCAUCAAAUAUUUCAGACUUUUGUGAUCGGUAUACACAUAACAUUUUUCCCCAUAUAAAUAAUGUCUCCAGAUUUUUAAAGUAAACACAAUCGCGGCCAACUCCAAAUCAUGGAUAGGGUAAUUUUUUUCGUGUGGCUUUAAUUGCCGAGAAGCAUAUGCCACUACUUUCCCUGACUACAUUAAAACACAACCCAAACCAUUUAAAGAUGCAUCACUAUACACAACAUAUAGUAUACCUGAUUCUGGCUGAGUUAACACUGGAGCUUCUGUCAACAUCUUCUUCAACUGGUCAAAACUUUGUUGGCACUCUUUAGACCAUACGAAUUCAACAUUCUUCUAAAGUAAUCGAGUCAUCGGCAAGGCAAUCAUUGAAAGAAUUUUAACAAAUCGGCGGUAGUAUCCCGCUAAUCCCAGGAAACUCCGCACUUCUGUUACGUUCUUUGAAGUUUUCCAAUUCACCACUGCUGACACUUUACUUGGAUCUACUCGAAUUCCUUCAACUGAAACAAUAUGACCCAGAAAUCCAACCUCAUGUAGCCAAAAUUCACACUUGCUGAACUUUGCAUACAACUGCUUCUCUCUCAAAGUAUGUAACACACUUCUCAAGUGUUGUGCAUGAUCAGGCUCGGUCUUCGAAUAGAUCAGUAUAUCAUCAAUAAAUACAACCAUGAAUCUAUCCAAAUAAGGUUGAAAAAUGCAGCAGGAGCAUUAGUUAAACCAAAUGGCAUUACCAGAAACUCAUAAUGACCAUACCGAGUUCUGAAGGCAGUUUUUGCACGUCACAUUCUUUAACUUUCAGCUAAUAAUACCCAGAUCGAAGAUCUAUUUUUGAAAACACAACAGCACCUUUCAAUUGAUCGAACAAAUCAUCAAUGCGGGGCAAAGGAUAUUUGUUCUUGAUUGUAACCUUAUUUAACUGUCUGUAAUCUAUACACAAUCUCAACGAACCAUCUUUCUUUUUCACAAACAAAACAGGUGCACCCUAAGGAAAUGUACUCGGUCUAAUAAAUCCUUUAUCUAACAAUUCUUGCAACUAAGUCUUCAACUCUUUUAAUUUCAUCGGUGCCAUUCUGUAUGGUGUUAUGGAUAUUGGAGCUGUUCACAGGAUCACAUCAAUCACAAACUCAACUUCACGAUCUGGCAGUAAACCUGGCAAUUCCUCAGGAAAUACAUCAUCAAAUUCAUUAACAACUGGCAACUGUUUCAACUUUGAUUCAGAAUCCCGAGCAUCAAGAAUAUAAGCUAAAUAUGCUUCAUUACCCUUUUGUAUUAGCUUUUGAGCUGAAAAGGCUGAAAUAAUUCAGACAUUAUCUUUCUUAUUUCCAAACUCAGCCGAAAUCAUUUCUCCUGUCUGAUUUUUCAAAUCAAUCCGUUUCUCCCAACAGUUCACUACAGCGUCAUGUUUUGUUAACCAAUCCAUCCCUAGAAUAAUAUCAAAUUCCCGAAAGGGUAACAACAUCAAAUCAGCAGGGAAUUCACAGCCUUUCACUUUCAUUGGACAAUUACGACAUAUUAAAUUAACCAUCACACUUUGACCUAAUGGAUUAGUGACUUGUAUAUCAUAAUUAGUGGACUCAACAGAUAAUUUCUUUUCAGAUGCUAGCAUAGUGCAAAUAUAUGAAUGAGUAGACCCUGGGUGUAUUAAUGCAUAAACAGUAACACCAUAAAGAUAGAAAAUACCAGCAAUUACAUCAGGAGCCAUAGCCUCUUCCCUUGCUCGAAUGGCAUAGGUACGUGCUGGUGCUCUAUUCUCUGAUUGACUAAGUAGUUCUCUCAUAGCUGAACGGGUAGCCCCUGUAGCACUGCUCUGGCCCAAACUUCUACUUCUUUGGGGAGUGGUUCUCUGUAUCUCUUUCUGAUCCACUUCAUCUUUUUGCAACUAGGGACAAUCUCGAAUAAGAUGAUCAAUAACCCCACAUUUAUAACAAGCCCCCAUCUUAGUUCUGCAUUCACCGAAAUGAUGUCUUCCAUAAUAUUGACACUUAGGUCGAGAAGUAUUCUGAACACUGCUCACACUUACUACAGGUCUAUCAAAUACCCUGAAAUCAGAUUGUCUUGAUCACCUCUACCCAAUCUUCCCGGCACGGAUGUAGUUCGACUAAUUUCUUCUCUAAAUUUCUUCAACGGCAAAUCUAAAAAUGACUUAGAAGCACCUCUUUUAAAUGACUCUUUAUUUUUCCGAUCUCGCUGUAUUUUUUUGUUAUAUACUUCUUCGAGCUUUUGAGCACGGUCUGACAGAACAACGAACUCUCGUAUUUCAUUAACCCCAAUCAUCAUUCUAAUCUCAUCAUUUAACCCUUCUUCAAAUCUGAUACAUAUUUCUUCUUCAGUAGGUACAAUGUCUCGAAUACAUUUGCUGAGGUAGACAAAUUCUCUUUCGUAUUCAACCACUGACUUAUUUCCCUGCCAUAGAUCAAGAAAUUCUCUAUUUUUCUUGUCUAGAUAUCUUUUGCCCACAUAUUUCUUUUUAAACUCGUUCUGGAAAAAUUCCCAAGUAAGCUUCUCUGCAGGUACUACAGCUUCCACAGUUUCCCACCAGUUAUAUGCUUCUUCUUUUAACAAUGAGACAGCACAUCGUAGAUAAUCCUCUAGAGAACAAGCCAUCUGUUUAAAAAUUCUUACCAAACUCUGUAGCCAAUAUUCAGCUUUUACAGGGUCAUCAUCUGAUCUCCCUCGAAAUUCCUCAGCUCCAAACUUCCUAAGCUUUUCAAUCGAAGAACAUUUACUAGUUUCAAUUAUUGAAGGCGGUGGAGGAGCAAUCGGAGGUACCACAGGUGGUGCAGUAGAGGGAGGAGGUGGUUGAGCCUGACUUCUUUCUUGUACCAUCUCCUUUUACCACUAAUUCAUAACUCUAUAAAUCAUAUUUUUAAGUUCUCGCUCUCGCAUCAUAGAAAUUGGAAUAUCACUACUUGUUCCUUGUUCAGAAGUCUGCACUCUACUGUUAGCUUCCUCCUGUUCAGUGCAUUUAGGUCUAUCUGACAUCUUUAUAAUCGAAGAGUAUCUAUAAAAAUGACAGAUUAGAUCGGAUCAUACACAUUACAGUAUCACAGAUUUAUAUGACAUGUAUUUCUAAACACUUUACACAUAACACAUGUUCUGAGAAUCGGAUAAAUCAGGCUCUGAUACCACUAAAUGUAACACUCCUUACCCGUAUUCGUCGCCGGAAUAGGGUAGGAGGUAUUACCGGAGUUUACCGAAUUAAUUUUCUAUUAAUACGAAUUAAAUACUAUUCAUUUACUAAAAUAUGUCAUGGUGUCCUUUAGAUGGCCUCCUAAGCCCAAAACAUACUUCGGACCAAACCAGAAUUAAAUCGAAACAUAGGGAAUUUUUUGCAAAAUUCCAAAGUUUUUUUUUUUUUGCUCAAUAUAACCCCUUUAUAAAUAUCUAACCUUCCCUGCAAAUUUUAAAACCGAGAUCAAUCCAACCAACCAAUUCAUUUCAAUCAAUUUGAUACCAAAUUAUACUACUAUUAUAAUUAUACUAUUUAACAUAUUCAUCAUUCUUUACUUUAAUGUAUAUUCAUUAAACAAGUCUUAGUAUUUAUAUAAUCAUCAAACAUUAUACAUGCCAUAUAAAUCAAAAAAGAAAUUUACAAAAGCUACCGGUGAUAAUCUGGAUAGUGUGAUCCUCUGUAUUGAUCUGAUCCUCCGUAUUCUUCCACGUCAAUCUACAAGAGACAUUGAAUACAUUCAAGUAAGCUUAUAGAAGCUUAGUAAGUUCAUAGGCAUAAAACAUAAAUCUUACCAAAUAUUUAUACACUUAUACAAUAUACACAACUAUUAAGUUCACUUGUCAACCACAGUCAUUGGUGAGUUCCCUUGUAUAAACUUACUACCACUCAUCCAUUUCCUUUAAUUCUUUUUAGCCCGUUUGUCACAUAUCAUUCUUCAACCAAAUUAGGGAACGAUUACGAAAAAUUGAGUACUUCAUUUUCACUUUGCCAUAGUAUAACUAUGGUCUUGCGUAUGAUCACUUAUCACUUUUUGAAGUCAUAGUCCUGCCACGGUCUUACACUGAUCACAUUUAUCAGUUGUCACUGAUCAGAUAAGUGUAGCUAAAGCUACCACUUAUCACUUGUCAUUGAUCAGAUAAGUGUAGCUAAAGCUACCACUUAUCACUUGUCACUUAUCACUGAUCAGAUAAGUGUAGCUAAAGCUACCACUUAUCACUUGUCACUUAUCACUGAUCAGAUAAGUAUAGCUGGGGCUACCACUUAUCACUUGUCGCUGAUCAGAAGUACUCAAAUCCGACGUUCUGCUCAAUUUGAUCAUUUAUUUGAUUUUCGGGUUGUUAUCUUAUUCUCUAUUCAUCAAUAAAUAUAUUUCAUCGUACAUUAUAUAAUUCAUAAAAUUUACACAUAAUAAUUAAACUUCAACCAUAUGAACUUAC
RNAcentral lists this long non-coding RNA (8560 nucleotides) under Gossypium barbadense (sea-island cotton). Its description in RNAcentral is "long non-coding RNA (GBAR_LNC010841)". The record is from RNAcentral. Lineage: Eukaryota; Viridiplantae; Streptophyta; Magnoliopsida; Malvales; Malvaceae.